CUCUCUCUCCCCCGGGAUCAGUCACCGAGUAACGCCCGGUCCCGCGGCUCGGGGAGCCAACCUCCUCCCCGCCGCGCCUGGCCCGACACGGAGACCUUGUCUGGGCUAUUCCCAAGGGCCCGCUCCCAAUUCCUGCGCCUCCCUCCCGGUCGGAGAGCUCGGGAAGAGGCGCUUCUGCUCUCCCGCUUCCCACAACCCCUAAAGCAAGAGAGCCCCUCAAGCGCAAGUCUCAGAACCGCGCGCCACGUACCUGUCAGGGGCCGCGGCUCCUCCUCCCGAGGGCGCGGUGCGGGGACAGUGCAGAAAGUUUGUGCCGCUGCCCGCGCCGGACGCCGAGAGGAAGGGGGAGCGGGCCGGCCGACGCUCGCAGAUCUCUGCUCGGCUCCCCCCUGCCCGGCUCCAAGUCGACAGCGGCUCCCCGGGAAAGGACGAGGCGGGAGAAGGUCCGAGCGCAACUCGCCGACGGUGCGUCAGCGGGCGGCGGAGUCGCGCCGCUCCCCGGCUCCCCCGCCCCCCUACCCCNNNNNNNNGGGAGCGCAGGCGGGGCUCGGCCGGGGAGGGGCCCAACCUGCCAGGCCGGCCCUGGGGAGCGCCCCGCCCCUCCGGCCCCGCCCCUCGAAGGCCCCGCCCCUGCCUCCGCCCCUGCCCCCUGAGCGUGGCCGCCAGGUGCGGGGUGGAGAGGGGUGGGGUCGGCUGCGACGUGGCCCCGGCGCCCGUUGCCAAGGUGAAGGAGGCGGAGCCUCUGAGGGAAAGUUUCCACCGAAACUUGAACCCCGGGGAAUGGAGGACACCUCGCCCUUGGGGACUCGUCUAUCGCUGGAACUACACCACUUCACGAACACACACACACACACACACAACCUUUACAAUCGUGCCAAAAGGUUCAUUACUUGGGUUUUGCUGAGUGGAGAACGUGAGACACCUCCAUGCAACACGCACUCUGUGAGUAUAGGUGUACGUGUCACAGUUCACUGGCAGUUUUCCCCCAAAUAUGAGGGCUCCUUAAUUGGACAGUUCAACAGCGAAAAGAAACUUCCCCAUUUCACAACUCCUCGGAAAAUGAGAGAGCAGGUUGGGAAUCCAUUUCCCUACGCCCAGGGUAUGGCGAUGGCCUUUGGCACCGCCUUUCCAGAACCCAGACCUUUCCAGAACCGGACUCCAUGUUUGCUGACUGCGUAUCAUCGGAGACCCUGCCUGUUGUCUUGCUGGCACUGCCACCUCCUCCUCCCCAUUUCUCCUCCUUCCAAGCUCCUUGCCUGUUUGCACGGUAAAGUCGAGGAUCUGCUUUCUGAACUUUUAAUCCAGGAGGAGGAAUCAAAUUCCUGGUUAGAGGCUCUCUUGGCAUUUCCAGAACCCUGUGGUUGGUGUGGCUGAAACUUGAGGUGAGCCGCAAUCAGAGCGGGUUGGGCCGAACUAUGGCUUGCAAAGGCGGAUGUGGGGUUUUUCUUACCCGCAACAUCCUGCUUGCGCCUCACCAGAUUCUCCUUUGGAGGAAGUAUAUCUUCCUCCCUCCAUUCUCCAUGAAUGGCAUCCAGUGACAACGAAAAUCAAGUCUAUCUAGCUUCGGGUUCUCUCUUGCAACCUCAGUAAUCAGAGGAUGCAAAAACUUCACACUUCCAGCUCUACCACCGCUGCUAUUCUUGAUGACUGCAGCAGGGAUGCAUCUGCUGCAAAUAACUCUCAGGGGUCACCAACCUUCCACCGAUAACAAGUGCAAGACAGGUGGCUAACUAAAAGCUGCGGAAGGACAGGGAGAUAGAAGCAUAGGAGCGAGGAAGUUCUGCCCAGCAGGUCAGGGCCUGUUCUAACAAUUGGGAUGUGGGGGAAUCAUUUAUUCAACCAUUAUAGAGUGUUUUUCCCAUGCUAGGCAUUCUCCUAGGGAUUGGGGACACAGCAGAGAACAAAAACAAAAAUUUUAACCCUCAUGGAGUUUACCUUCCAGGCAGGAGACACAAAUGAUAAAGAAAAUAUGUGGACUACCAUAUGAUUCGGAGAAGGAAAUGGCAACCCACUCCAGGACUCUUGCCUGGAAAAUCCCAC
This 2040-nucleotide long non-coding RNA is filed under the name Capra hircus (goat). Its description in RNAcentral is "lncRNA (ENSCHIG00010032132.1)". Lineage: Eukaryota; Metazoa; Chordata; Mammalia; Artiodactyla; Bovidae. The record is from RNAcentral.